CUACGGGUGGCAGCAGUGAGGAAUAUUGCACAAUGGGGGGAACCCUGAUGCAGCAACGCCGCGUGGAGGAUGACGCAUUUCGGUGUGUAAACUCCUUUUAUCAGAGAAGAACAUGACGGUAUCUGAUGAAUAAGCUCCGGCUAACUCCGUGCCAGCAGCCGCGGUAAUACGGAGGGAGCAAGCGUUAUUCGGAAUCACUGGGCGUAAAGGACGCGUAGGCGGGACAGUAAGUCAGGUGUGAAAUCCAAUGGCUCAACCAUUGAACUGCACUUGAAACUGCUGACCUAGAGUACUGAAGGGGCAGAUGGAAUUAGUGGUGUAGGGGUAAAAUCCGUAGAUAUCACUAGGAAUACCGAAAGCGAAGGCGAUCUGCUGGGAAGUUACUGACGCUGAGGCGUGAAAGCGUGGGGAGCAAACAGGAUUAGAUACCCCGGUAGUC
This 439-nucleotide ribosomal RNA is filed under the name uncultured bacterium. Its description in RNAcentral is "partial 16S ribosomal RNA". It matches the Rfam family "Bacterial small subunit ribosomal RNA", at positions 339 to 795 of the family's 1533-position model. The record is from RNAcentral.